RNAcentral lists this ribosomal RNA (468 nucleotides) under uncultured bacterium. RNAcentral describes it as "bacterial SSU rRNA". It matches the Rfam family "Bacterial small subunit ribosomal RNA", at positions 29 to 507 of the family's 1533-position model. The record is from RNAcentral.
AGUGAACGCUGCGGGCGUGCUUAACACAUGCAAGUCGAACGAGAACGGGAUAUAGCUUGCUAUAUUUGUCAGCUAAGUGGCGCACGGGUGAGUAAUGUAUAGGUAAUAUGCCUCUUACUAAGGGAUAACAAUUGGAAACGAUUGCUAAUACCUUAUAUGCCUUUAAGACUAAAGUCUGCAAGGGAAAGAUUUAUUGGUAAGAGAUUAGCCUGUAUUGUAUCAGCUAGUUGGUGAGGUAAUGGCUCACCAAGGCUAUGACGCAUAACUGGUUUGAGAGGAUGAUCAGUCACACUGGAACUGAGACACGGUCCAGACUCCUACGGGAGGCAGCAGUGGGGAAUAUUGCACAAUGGACGAAAGUCUGAUGCAGCAACGCCGCGUGGAGGAUGACACAUUUCGGUGCGUAAACUCCUUUUAUAUAGGAAGAUAAUGACGGUACUAUAUGAAUAAGCACCGGCUAACUCCGUG